AUGUGCAUUGCAAAGUCACAAGGAGGAAUGGGAUUUCGAGACCUGGAAACUUUCAACGAUGCAUUGUUAGCAAAGCAAGCAUGGAGGUUACUUGAGAAUCCAAAUAUCUUGUGUGCACGUGUGCUUAAAUCAUGGUAUUUUCCUAAUGAGGAUAUUCUCAUGGCGGGCUGUCCAGCUAGUGCCUCCAAGACAUGGAAAGCAAUUAUCAAAGGGAGAGAUAUGUUGAGGUGGGGACUCAUCCGGAGAAUUGGUAAUGGAGAGACCACCGACGUGUGGCAUGAUUAA
Molecule: ribosomal RNA, 285 nt
Filed under: Triticum aestivum (bread wheat)
Lineage: Eukaryota; Viridiplantae; Streptophyta; Magnoliopsida; Poales; Poaceae
Description: partial small subunit ribosomal RNA
Source: RNAcentral